GGCUCGGUAGUGGAGGGUCCGCACCUGCCACCUGUAAAAGGAAAGCAACGACUUUUAUAUUGCAGGAGGUGCCCGUUCGACUCGGGCCCGAGCCA
This is a non-coding RNA of Mycena vulgaris, 95 nucleotides long. Lineage: Eukaryota; Fungi; Basidiomycota; Agaricomycetes; Agaricales; Mycenaceae. The record is from the annotation of a GenBank genome assembly.